UGCCAGCAGCCGCGGUAAUACGGAGGGGGUUAGCGUUGUUCGGAAUUACUGGGCGUAAAGCGCACGUAGGCGGAUUAGUAAGUUAGGGGUGAAAUCCCGGGGCUCAACCCCGGAACUGCCUCUAAUACUGCCAGUCUAGAGUUCGGGAGAGGUGAGUGGAAUUCCUAGUGUAGAGGUGAAAUUCAUAGAUAUUAGGAAGAACACCAGUGGCGAAGGCGACUCACUGGCACAUUUCUGACGCUGAGGCGCGAAAGCGUGGGGAGCAAACAGGAUUAGAUA
This 279-nucleotide ribosomal RNA is filed under the name uncultured bacterium. RNAcentral's name for it is "partial 16S ribosomal RNA". It matches the Rfam family "Bacterial small subunit ribosomal RNA", at positions 506 to 784 of the family's 1533-position model. The record is from RNAcentral.